AACUUUCAACAACGGAUCUCUUGGCUCUCGCAUCGAUGAAGGACGCAGCGAAAUGCGAUAAGUAAUGUGAAUUGCANAAUUCAGUGAAUCAUCGAAUCUUUGAACGCACCUUGCACCUUUUGGUAUUCCGAAAGGUAUGCCUGUUUGAGUGUCAU
RNAcentral lists this ribosomal RNA (155 nucleotides) under Tremella caloplacae. Its description in RNAcentral is "5.8S ribosomal RNA". It matches the Rfam family "5.8S ribosomal RNA". From Rfam's summary of the family: 5.8S ribosomal RNA (5.8S rRNA) is a component of the large subunit of the eukaryotic ribosome. It is transcribed by RNA polymerase I as part of the 45S precursor that also contains 18S and 28S rRNA. Lineage: Eukaryota; Fungi; Basidiomycota; Tremellomycetes; Tremellales; Tremellaceae. The record is from RNAcentral.